CGGAGACGGCGGACGGCCAGUGACGGUGGCUGGCGGCGGCGGAUGGUCGGUGAUGGUGGCCGGCGGCAGUGGAUAGCUGGCAGGUGGCGAGCGGCACCGGGUAGUGGCGGACAACAACACCAGACAGAUGCGAGACAAAAACUAAAGAUUGCCCAUUGAAGUAUAAAGGCACAAGUUGAAAAAGAAACUUUUAGGGGGGGUCGCCGGUGGCGGCGGUUGAUGAGCUCGAUUCUAAGGCAGAUCGGCGAUGAGCUGAAGACACAAGCACGGAUCGACUGACGAACCAGACCAUAGACGCAGCGGAAGAACGAAAACGAAGAGAACCCUAGGAUUAGGGUGGUUUGUUCGUUGUAAGUGAUAGGUGUAGGGAUUUGUGACGUUUUAAUAGGUGAAGCUGGAGGAUUCACCGAUUGAAUCGGUAAAAUGGAAGGAGGCUAGGUUUUGAUCGGUAAAGGUUCAACAAGUGAUGGAUCGAGGGAAACCCUAACAGAAAGACUAGAUCUACGAAGUAGAUCGGCAAAGAGAAUGGUUAGGGUGCGUUGAGGAGACUUACGGUGGAGAUCUGUGGAACUGUGGCUCGUGGUUGGCCGUGGAAGCAAUGGAGAAGAAGUGAGUCUGAACGAGACUAGUGUGGGCGGCGCGAAACAAUAUGUUUCUGAUUCGCGAGAAUGAGGUUUCGAAAGAUAAGUGUAGUUGUGGUAGUANNUCUGAUGUGGAAAAUGAAUGAAUUGCAAUGUGAAAUGGAAGGUGGCUAGAGGAGAUCCUUUGGGAUUCUCUAGCCUUGACUUUCAAGGUAGAAUUGCUCUGGAGUGAUUCUCAACAGGAAACNAUUCAAUUAUCUCAAAAGUAUUUACAAGAUGUGUUAGCAUGCCUAUAUAUAGGUCUAUGCCUAACACAUUGUACAAAUGUCUAUUACAAAUAAAAGAAAUACUAGACUAAGGAAAUUGGGCUUGGGCCCAAGUCAUCAGCGGCCCCCGGCAGCAACAAAGACAAAGUAGAAAAGGAUCAGAAAACCUGCUCUGAUACCAUGUUAAAUAUAGUGAAAAUUAUAUAUUGGAAUUAAUCCC
Molecule: long non-coding RNA, 1067 nt
Filed under: Vigna radiata
Lineage: Eukaryota; Viridiplantae; Streptophyta; Magnoliopsida; Fabales; Fabaceae
Description: long non-coding RNA (VRAD_LNC006182)
Source: RNAcentral